Chenopodium quinoa (quinoa) is the source of this 1128-nucleotide long non-coding RNA. RefSeq lists it as uncharacterized. The transcript has 2 exons. The record is from RefSeq and is a predicted model, not a curated record. NCBI's taxonomy places the organism in Eukaryota, Viridiplantae, Streptophyta, Magnoliopsida, Caryophyllales, Amaranthaceae.
ACUUCAUCUUCUUUCUCUAUCUUCUUUUGCAUUUUCUCUCUCUUCAUUACAUUUCUCUCUCCUUCUGCAAAUUCUCUCUAUUUCGAUCUCUCUAAUCUUGCCGCACGUUGUCAACUUUGCAAAUUCUCAUCUAUGAUCAUUGUUGCUUAGGCAAAUUAAUGGGAAGAUCUAGAUUUGUCUGCAAAUUGAUCUCACAAUUGGUUAGGGCUAUAAUGAGGUGUUCAAUCAUUCUAUAAUCCAUGAAUUCAAGGAAGAUACAAUUGGCUUUUGAAGUAAUUUGAAAGCUGCAAUUGCUCAUUACAAUGUCAGGUGCUUACUUAGAGGAAGGCAAGCUAACAUCCUUCUCACUUCCUCACCUAGCCUAAUGGUGAAGAGUGUUUUAGUGGCUGAUGAUCUUUUCAAAUUGAAUUUUCUGCUAACUUGUGAUAGCUUGGAGAAAUGCCUAGAUGUCAGUGAAAUUCUAUUUACUUUCGAGUUAUCUUAUUUACUUUUGAGUUAAUUUUAAUUACUUUUAAGUUAAUGGUAAUUGCUUUUGAGUUGAUGGUAGUGACUGAGUGUGGUAUAUACUUGUGUUCAUGGAGUUUAUGGUAGUGGCUGCGUGGGAUUUAAUGUGUGGGUAAAAGUCGUGAGGGUGUCAAGGGUUUUCUUUGUAACCUUGGGUGCUGUGUGUUGGUGGCUGUUGUUUGGGUGGGCAAAGUGUAAUUUGAUGAAUAAUUGUGUAUGUGUGUGUGUGUUAAAUAUUUUUUAGAGGUUUUGCUUGAAGUUUUACUAGAUAUAUUUGAAUAGGGUUGUUUAGCUGUAUUGGAAUUAGAAUGCCUUUCACUGAGUAAAUGACUAAGACAUCCAGUUAUUAUCAAAUUGAUAUGCUGUGAACAUAUGGUCUCAUAAUAACUUUUAUGAUCUGUUAGCCGAUGCACCAACUUCCUCCUUUGCUGAUCGGUUUUUGUGGGCUGCAAACAGGCUGGACAAAAAAGAACCAAGUCUAUUAUGUACUUCGAGUUGUGCAUCUUGGUUUUGCAGGAUUAUGAGAGUGCAUCAAGAAUCGGUGUCUGACCUGAAUUGUGGCUAGGGGUGAGCAUGGGUCUGGUACCCGUACCGUUAACACUAUCGGUUCGGGUACCCGAUAAC